Molecule: long non-coding RNA, 327 nt
Filed under: Elaeis guineensis (African oil palm)
Lineage: Eukaryota; Viridiplantae; Streptophyta; Magnoliopsida; Arecales; Arecaceae
Description: long non-coding RNA (EGUI_LNC006028)
Source: RNAcentral
ACCUCCUCAUUAAGUAAGAUGAAAGUGAUAAUAUCCAUGGUAACAACACCAUCAGGUGCCGAAUUGCUCAAGAAAAUCAUCAAAGUCUUCUAGCUAUCCGACAAAGAGCUAAGAAGAAGAAGAGCUUGUAACUCAGCAUCAACAGUCAUCUUCAUAGUAGCAAGUUGAUUCACAAUCUUCUGCAUUUUUUUGAGGUGCUCGACAAUAGAAUUCUCCUCAACAUAUUUUAGAUUCACAAGCUUUCAAAUCAAAAAAGCUUUGUUGCCGGUAAUCUUCCUUUCAUACAUACUUUCAAGCUUCUUCCAUAAAGAUUCUACCGACAUCUCC